Molecule: ribosomal RNA, 135 nt
Filed under: Glutamicibacter halophytocola
Lineage: Bacteria; Bacillati; Actinomycetota; Actinomycetes; Micrococcales; Micrococcaceae
Description: partial 23S ribosomal RNA
Rfam family: Bacterial large subunit ribosomal RNA
Source: RNAcentral
UUUUGUGUUGAAGUUUUUAAGGGCGCACGGUGGAUGCCUUGGCAUCAAGAGCCGAUGAAGGACGUGGGAAUCUGCGAUAAGCCUGGUGGAGUCGAUAACCGGACGUUGAUACCAGGAUUUCCGAAUGGGGGAACC